Molecule: non-coding RNA, 45 nt
Organism: Schistosoma rodhaini
Lineage: Eukaryota; Metazoa; Platyhelminthes; Trematoda; Strigeidida; Schistosomatidae
Source: Rfam
AUCCAGCUGACGAGUCCCAAAUAAGGCGAAACGCAUGUCCUAGAU